AGUACGCACGCAAGUGUGAAACUCAAAGGAAUUGACGGGGGCCCGCACAAGCGGUGGAGUAUGUGGUUUAAUUCGAUGCAACGCGAAGAACCUUACCAGGGUUUGACAUCCUGCGAACCUCUUAGAAAUUUGAGGGUGCCUUCGGGAAUGCAGUGACAGGUGGUGCAUGGCUGUCGUCAGCUCGUGUCGUGAGAUGUUGGGUUAAGUCCCGCAACGAGCGCAACCCACGUUUUUAGUUGCCAGCAUUUAGUUGGGCACUCUAGAAAGACCGCCGGUGAUAAACCGGAGGAAGGUGUGGAUGACGUCAAGUCAUCAUGCCCCUUACACCCUGGGCUACACACGUACUACAAUGCUACGGACAAAGGGCAGCAAACUCGCGAGAGCUAGCAAAUCCCAUAAACCGUGGCUCAGUUCAGAUCGUAGGCUGCAACUCGCCUACGUGAAGUAGGAAUCGCUAGUAAUCGCAGGUCAGCAUACUGCGGUGAAUACGUUCCCGGGCCUUGUACACACCGCCCGUCACACCAUGGAAGUUGGCCAUGCCCGAAGUCGUUACUCCAACC
Molecule: ribosomal RNA, 560 nt
Filed under: uncultured bacterium
Lineage: Bacteria
Description: bacterial SSU rRNA
Rfam family: Bacterial small subunit ribosomal RNA
Source: RNAcentral